UGCAAGUCGAGCGGUAAGGCCCUUCGGGGUACACGAGCGGCGAACGGGUGAGUAACACGUGGGUGAUCUGCCUCGCACUUCGGGAUAAGCCUGGGAAACUGGGUCUAAUACCGGAUAUGACCAUGGAAUGCAUGUUUUGUGGUGGAAAGAUUUAUCGGUGCGAGAUGGGCCCGCGGCCUAUCAGCUUGUUGGUGAGGUAACGGCUCACCAAGGCGACGACGGGUAGCCGACCUGAGAGGGUGACCGGCCACACUGGGACUGAGACACGGCCCAGACUCCUACGGGAGGCAGCAGUGGGGAAUAUUGCACAAUGGGCGAAAGCCUGAUGCAGCGACGCCGCGUGGAGGAUGACGGCCUUCGGGUUGUAAACUCCUUUCGACAGGGACGAAGCGAGAGUGACGGUACCUGUAGAAGAAGCACCGGCCAACUACGUGCCAGCAGCCGCGGUAAUACGUAGGGUGCGAGCGUUGUCCGGAAUUACUGGGCGUAAAGAGCUUGUAGGCGGUCUGUCGCGUCUUCUGUGAAAACUUGGGGCUCAACCUUAAGCUUGCAGGCGAUACGGGCAGACUAGAGUACUUCAGGGGAGACUGGAAUUCCUGGUGUAGCGGUGAAAUGCGCAGAUAUCAGGAGGAACACCGGUGGCGAAGGCGGGUCUCUGGGAAGUAACUGACGCUGAGAAGCGAAAGCAUGGGUAGCAAACAGGAUUAGAUACCCUGGUAGUCCAUGCCGUAAACGGUGGGUACUAGGUGUGGGUUUCCUUCCACGGGAUCCGUGCCGUAGCUAACGCAUUAAGUACCCCGCCUGGGGAGUACGGCCGCAAGGCUAAAACUCAAAGAAAUUGACGGGGGCCCGCACAAGCGGCGGAGCAUGUGGAUUAAUUCGAUGCAACGCGAAGAACCUUACCUGGGUUUGACAUACACCGGAAACCUGCAGAGAUGUAGGCCCCCUUGUGGUCGGUGUACAGGUGGUGCAUGGCUGUCGUCAGCUCGUGUCGUGAGAUGUUGGGUUAAGUCCCGCAACGAACCUUAUCUUAUGUUGCCAGCGCGUAAUGGCGGGGACUCGUGAGAGACUGCCGGGGUCAACUCGGAGGAAGGUGGGGACGACGUCAAGUCAUCAUGCCCCUUAUGUCCAGGGCUUCACACAUGCUACAAU
Molecule: ribosomal RNA, 1152 nt
Filed under: Nocardia ninae
Lineage: Bacteria; Bacillati; Actinomycetota; Actinomycetes; Mycobacteriales; Nocardiaceae
Description: bacterial SSU rRNA
Rfam family: Bacterial small subunit ribosomal RNA
Source: RNAcentral